Long non-coding RNA from Monomorium pharaonis (pharaoh ant), 5920 nucleotides. RefSeq lists it as uncharacterized. The transcript has 2 exons. Lineage: Eukaryota; Metazoa; Arthropoda; Insecta; Hymenoptera; Formicidae. The record is from RefSeq and is a predicted model, not a curated record.
GGUUCUUAGGUUAUAAGAUUAUGACUUUCUCCUCGGAUCCGUAGGCUAGCGGAAUUAGAACCGUAUUAUCUGAGUCGCUUUAUAUAAAAACAGGCCGUUUAUAACUUGUCGGUAGAAUAGAAUUAUAUUGAGUCGAUUGGAUAUACUACGUGUAUGACAUUGUUCGCGAGCGCGGACAUCGCUUAUGCCCAAUUGUAUCUCCGUACGUGUCCUUCCGGACCAAUAAAAGAAUAAUUAAUUAGUAAAAAUGAUUUUCCAAAAAUAUAGAAAUUGUGGAAAAUCGUUACCAAACGAAACAUAUCUCAAGAAAUUGAGAAAUAUAAAUAUAAGCACUCCAAUUAUAGGAGGAAUAGUUGGAUCAUGUUUACUACCUGCACUUGGUUUUGGAUUUUCUGGAGUUAUUGGAGGUUCGUUUGCAUCCUCUUGGCAAUCGACAAUUGGUUCAGUUGCAACAAAUAGCUUAUUUUCAACUUUACAAUCUUUAGGUACAACAGGAGUAGGAUCAAUUUUAUUUGGUUUUAUAGGUAUUGCAUUAGGUAUAUUAAUUUCAAUAGCAAAAAAUCGUGGUUAGUGCACAUGUUAUAAAAUAAUUAUUAUAUCUUUAAAAUGAAUUUUUAUUAAUGUAGGAGUGCGUUGUGUAAGAGUGCAUUAUAGAUAAAACAGAGAAAUACUCUGAUUCUUUUCUCGGCUUAAGAUGUACGCUGUUGCGUGGCGUGGUGCGCCGUGAGGAGACGCUGCAUGCGCAGAGAAGGGGCAGUAUGCUGGUGUGCGUAAUUAAGGAAGUACAUGGCCGAUCGCCGCGUGCAAGCCGGUUUUUCUGUAUACUUUAAUUGUAUUAAAUACGUUUUACUAUCAGAGUGCCGGUCAUUUCCUACUACCCGAAAACAAAUUCCUACAUUAACUAAUUUAAACAAAUAUAAUGGAUUUAAAAAAUUUAAACACCAGACAUAUUGACGACAGAUUUUGUUAUAUACAAUAUGACGAGUUUGAACUAAUUAUGAUGAAAAAGAAUAAUUUCAUAAAUGCUACUAAACUAUGUAAAUUAGGCAAUAACAAAUUAAAAAAUUGGUCAAGGUUAGAUGAGUCUAAAGAAAUAAUAAAUGAAAUUGAAGAAAUUAACAAAAUUUGGAAGAUAGAUAGUAAGAAGAAAUCAACUGGCUCAGAUCUGAGCCAGUUAAAAAUUGUUAUAUAAAAUCAUCAAACCUUCAAAUUCUAAAAAACUAACAUGUUUCUUAGUUUUACAAAGUAAAGACUUUAAUAAAUUUAAAAUAUUUAGAAUUCAAAAAGAAAAAGUAAACAACAUUGAAAAUAUGUACUUAAGAAAGUAUAAAAAAUUUUACGAAUCUUAUAAACCAAACGCUGUUAGUUACUAUAACUCUUUAAAAGAAAGGGGAAAAGAAGUAUUUAAAACAAACUAUAGUAAUUUACAGUUAACUGAUUUUGAUCCAGAAGACUUUAAAGAUGAAUUGAAGAUACUAGAUAAAUCUAGAUACUAUUAAUAUUUUUUUGUGAAAUUUUACAUUUUUACACUUAAAUGAAGAUGUCAGAAGAGCUAAUGACGAUGGUAUUUAGUAAUCAUUUGAUAGCCCUUCUAAUUUUUAAACAUCUUGACAUUGAUGAGUUAAUGACAUUUUACAGUAGUGAAUAUAGACAAAAUGUUGUAUAUUGCGUUAAUAAAAAUAAAAACAACUUGAAUUGGGAAAAAUUUAUUAUAGGGCGUAAAUUAUCGGAAGAUUUUAAUAGAGAAUUUAAAGAUAUAAUAGAUUGGAAAGCAGUAUCAUGGUAUCAAAAAUUAUCAGAUUUUAUUAAAGAAUUUCAAAGUAAAGUAGAUAGGGAUUUAAUUUCACGCUUUCAAAAACUUUUAGAAGACUUUAUGAUUGAAUUUGAAGAUAAAUUACAUUGGGCACAUAUAUUUGAACGUCAAAAACUUUCAACAAACUUCUUAAUAAAAUUUAAAGAUAAAUUGAAAAUACAUGAUAAAUAUCUUUACGAUAUUAAUAAUCAAUUAUUUAAAUAAGUAUUGACAACUCAAUUGAUUUCAAAAUUUAAUCACAAGACACAUAGACGAUAGAUUUUGUUACAUACAGUAUGACGAGUUUGAACUCAUUAUGAUGAAAAAGAAUAAUUUCAUAAAUGCUACUAAACUAUGUAAAUUAGGCAAUAACAAAUUAAAAAAUGGGUCAAGGUUAGAUGAGUCUAAAGAAAUAAUAAAUGAAAUUGAAGAAAUUAACAAAAUUUGGAAGAUAGAUAAUAAGAAGAAAUCAACUCAGAUCUGAGCCUGUUGAAAAUCAUUAUAUAGAAUCAUCAAACCAUCAAAUUCUAAAAAACUAAAUGUUUUUUAGUUCUACAAUGAUGAUGCAAUAGUAAGAAGAAUAAGAGUUAUUAGAAUCAAUUCUUCAUACUUUGUUAAAAAUAAAUCUACUGAUAUUACAGAUAAAAAAUACGAAGGCUUCAUACUUCAUAAAAGAAAAAAGAAAGUUAUAGAUCCUGAAUUAGAACUGAAAUUUAAUAAUGGUGAUUUGACACUACCUCUAUUUAAAUAUCUUAAAAACAAACUAAUUGAAUAUCACUUAAUCAAAAUAACUACCAGAUUUGUGAGAAUUCAUCGAUUCCCGUUCGAUCUUUCGCUCAAGAAGCGCGUACCUUAGUCUCGAGGGGGUGGGGGGGGGGCAUAUUCCUUACUGCCAAGCACGAUACGUGCUUGUAUCGCGAAGAUGCGCGCAUGCUCCGGGGGACGUGCGUUCGGAGCAACGGACGGAGUCUCUUUCUCUUUCGUUCCUGGGCGGUCGUCGGACUCGGAUCGGCGAAAAGCCUUUCGCAUUUGGCCGUCUAUUUGAGUGGACAUCGUUUUACCGAUCAUCUGCGGAACAUACUUGGACGAUCAGGGGGAGAUCUGUGUGGCCAUCGUCUCCUGCCCUGGGUUUGGAAGUCGGGAUAAGCCGAUCGUAGGAACCCUGCGAGAAUUGCUUCAACGAUCUCGACGUCGGUGAUCAACGAAGUGAGAACCAUAAAGUCCGACGGCGUAGCCAGGGAACAGGCGAGAGAGCCAACGUGGGACUGAGGUAGCCGCCAUAAGCGUACAUUUAAGUAUUCUUAUUUAUAUAUAUCGUGGAAGAAGUCCGUCGCAAUUGAUAACGCACUUUUGAAAAUUCAUGUUAUUCGUGGCGGUCCUUAGGUUAUAAGAUUAUGACUUUCUCCUCGGAUCCGUAGGCUAACGAAAUUAGAACCGUAUUAUCUGAGUCGCUUUAUAUAAAAACAGGCCGUUUAUUACUUGUCGGUAGAAUAGAAUUAUAUUGAGUCGAUUGGAUAUACUACGUGUACGACAUUGUUCGCGAGCGCGGACAUCGCCUAAUUGUAUCUCCGUGCGUAUCCUUCCGGACCAAUAAAAGAAUAAUUAAUUAGUAAAAAUGAUUUUCCAAAAAUAUAGAAAUUGUGGAAAAUCGUUACCAAACGAAACAUAUCUCAAGAAAUUGAGAAAUAUAAAUAUAAGCACUCCAAUUAUAGGAGGAAUAGUUGGAUCAUGUUUACUACCUGCACUUGGUUUUGGAUUUUCUGGAGUUAUUGGAGGUUCGUUUGCAUCCUCUUGGCAAUCGACAAUUGGUUCAGUUGCAACAAAUAGCUUAUUUUCAACUUUACAAUCUUUAGGUACAACAGGAGUAGGAUCAAUUUUAUUUGGUUUUAUAGGUAUUGCAUUAGGUAUAUUAAUUUCAAUAGCAAAAAAUCGUGGUUAGUGCACAUGUAAUAAAAUAAUUAUUAUAUCUUUAAAAUGAAUUUUUAUUAAUGUAGGAGUGCGUUGUGUAAGAGUGCAUUAUAGAUAAAACAGAGAAAUACUCUGAUUCUUUUCUCGGCUUAAGAUGUACGCUGUUGCGUGGCGUGGUGCGCCGUGAGGAGACGCUGCAUGCGCAGAGAAGGGGCAGUAUGCUGGUGUGCGUAAGGAAGGAAGUACAUGGCCGAUCGCCGCGUGCAAACCGGUUUUUCUGUAUACUUUAAUUGUAUUAAAUACGUUUUACUAUCAGAGUGCCGGUCAUUUCCUACUACCCGAAAACAAAUUCCUACAUUAACUAAUUUAGACAAAUGUAAUGGAUUUAAAAAAUUUAAACACCAGACAUAUUGACGACAGAUUUUGCUACAUACAAUAUGACGAGUUUGAACUAAUUAUGAUGAAAAAGAAUAAUUUCACAAAUGCUACUAAACUAUGUAAAUUAGGCAAUAACAAAUUUAAAAAUUGGUCAAGGUUAGAUGAGUCUAAAGAAAUAAUAAAUGAAAUUGAAGAAAUUAACAAAAUUUGGAAGAUAGAUAGUAAGAAGAAAUCAACUGGCUCAGAUCUGAGCCAGUUAAAAAUUGUUAUAUAAAAUCAUCAAACCUUCAAAUUCUAAAAAACUAACAUGUUUCUUAGUAUUACAAAGUAAAGACUUUAAUAAAUUUAAAAUAUUUAGAAUUCAAAAAGAAAAAGUAAACAACAUUGAAAAUAUGUACUUAAGAAAGUAUAAAAAAUUUUACGAAUCUUAUAAACCAAACGCUGUUAGUUACUAUAACUCUUUAAAAGAAAGGGGAAAAGAAGUAUUUAAAACAAACUAUAGUAAUUUACAGUUAACUGAUUUUGAUCCAGAAGACUUUAAAGAUGAAUUGAAGAUACUAGAUAAAUCUAGAUACUAUUAAUAUUUUUUUGUGAAAUUUUACAUUUUUACACUUAAAUGAAGAUGUCAGAAGAGCUAAUGACGAUGGUAUUUAGUAAUCAUUUGAUAGCCCUUCUAAUUUUUAAACAUCUUGACAUUGAUGAGUUAAUGACAUUUUACAGUAGUGAAUAUAGACAAAAUGUUGUAUAUUGCGUUAAUAAAAAUAAAAACAACUUGAAUUGGGAAAAAUUUAUUAUAGGGCGUAAAUUAUCUGAAGAUUUUAAAAAAGAAUUUAAAGAUAUAAUAGAUUGGAAAGCAGUAUCAUGGUAUCAAAGAUUAUCAUAAGAUUUUAUUAAAGAAUUUCAAGGUAAAGUAGAUUGGGGUUUAAUUUCACGCUUUCAAAAACUUUCAGAAGACUUUAUGAUUGAAUUUGAAGAUAAAUUACAUUGAGCACAUACAUAUAUUUAAACAUCAAAAACUUUCAACAAACUUCUUAAUAAAAUUUAAAGACAAAUUGAGAAUACAUGAUAAAUAUCUUUACGAUAUUAAUAAUCAAUUAUUUAAAUAAGUAUUGACAACUCAAUUGAUUUCAAAAUUUAAUCACAAGACACAUAGACGAUAGAUUUUGUUACAUACAGUAUGACGAGUUUGAACUAAUUAUGAUGAAAAAGAAUAAUUUCAUAAAUGCUACUAAACUAUGUGAAUUAGCCAAACCUCGCUGUUCGGGAUUUAGCAUGUAAUGAGCUCGCGCCGUCCCGUCAGAUGGCAGCAGCUAUCGAUCACCGUUCACGUAGAUCGUGGUGCGCCAGCACGCACGCCUACAUGCGCAUAUCACCAGAAUUAUCUUACUUCAGUACGUGUGCUCUUUGGCGGCGGUUCACUUUCGCUCAUCGUGCUAUUGUUUCGACAUAGUUUUGGUGCUCAAAUCUAUCGUGAGAUCACAGGAGAUUCAUCCGACGACUACUCAAGAAGACUCAGUUAAUUAUUAAUGAGAGACUCAUCCGGACUGCUCUAGUGCAACAUCGAGAGGCUCAAGCUCACCACGAUACGCGCACGCCGGCGCCGCGUGAUACCGGCUCACGGGCAUCAUCGUCGUCACCGAAAAGCUGAGUCUAUUAUCUCAGGGACCUUCCUACACCCGAUCCUAGCGAAUUAAGCCCGCGUAGGAAAUACGGUCCGUUACACUGGUAAGUGCCCCAAUUAUCUUAAUAUUUACUUUAAUAAUUUUACUUAAUACUCCAAUCUUAGAUAAUUCUAGAUUUGUAAGAUUCAAUUUUUUUUUUGCUAAAGAAAAAAAAAACAAA